This is a long non-coding RNA of Bos taurus (domestic cattle), 692 nucleotides long. NCBI's taxonomy places the organism in Eukaryota, Metazoa, Chordata, Mammalia, Artiodactyla, Bovidae. The record is from Ensembl.
AAAAGAAGACCUACCCUCCCUUCCUCCACAGGGCAGGAAGAAAUUGUCUUCUUCCCAAAACACUGGCCUCCUCCCAGGGCUAAUGACUCUGACCUCCCUCUCUCUCUACCCUCAGUACCCCGUCUUUUUUUAGAUUGUGAAGGUAAAGCAGGUGGUGGUUGAUUUUAGAAAGGUUUUCUUUCACCGGUUUAGAAGCCACUGGUUACUUACUGGUAACUGCAUUGCAUACUUCAGGCUGUUUGUGGGCUGGAUGCUGUUAAUAUGUACCUUCCAUACCCCACCAUGAGGGAGAAUGAGGGCAGUGUGUGGGCCAGAGGACUUACUUCUAGCAAGCUGAUAAAAGAGGUCUGCUGAGCUCAUGAACCAAGCACCAAACCUGUACUAUGGAUCCUCAAAUGGUACUAACCCUUUCAGAGGUGAGAAGAGUAAGAAGUAAAACCCUGGAGGGGAGUAGUGUUGGAAACAGGAAUGGCUUUUGCGGGUGGGAGUGCUAAAUCAGUAGGGUUCUCAAUCAAGUUCUCGUGAGGGGUGGUCAGAUGGUUCUGGUGAGAGGGGAAUCUCUGGCUGUAGCAGCAGAAUUGCUGUUGUCAGUCUGUCCGACUGUGAGUCUCAGUCAGGUAGGGACUGGGCCCUAAGCCUCCCUCAGCUUCUUAAGUCAUGUAGAAGGAUUAUCUCUACAGGUGCCUCAUGCC